Molecule: non-coding RNA, 16161 nt
Organism: Pelobates cultripes (western spadefoot toad)
Lineage: Eukaryota; Metazoa; Chordata; Amphibia; Anura; Pelobatidae
Source: the annotation of a GenBank genome assembly
GUUUCGACCUCUCCCCGUCCGACUCUCCUCCAGCCUUUCUCUGUCUGCGUUCUAAUGUUUCCUGAACCAUCAGCACGGAUUGACACCAGAGGCGACCAAUAGGUGGAGAGGCUGAGGAGUGCGGUGUGCGGUGAUUGGCUGCUGGUCAGGCAGUGGGCGUUUCCAAUUGUUUUCAGGCUGGGGAUGAGGGCAGAGAGCUGUAUUGGCAGUGAGGAGUUAUAACAUAGUGGAGCCAGACUGCCUGCUGCUUAUUGAAUUGUCUGGGGGUUCUGUGUCUCAGUUGAUAGAUACUGGGCAUUUAUUUGUGGCAUUACCCAAGUUAUGAGUGGUUAGAUAGAGCCUGGUUUAUUAUCUGAACAUUAGUUGCUGUACUUGGUUAUAUAGUAUAUGGGUUUAGUACAGAGUUUGGGGAGAUUGUACCUUUUAGUGUAUUUGCAUAGGGCUGUAACUGUGUGACAUGGUUAGCCAUACAUACAGGGAGUGCUACUUUUACAAGCUUUUAAUGUUCUUGUAAUGUCUGACCUGCUUUCCCCCAUCACUGCUGCUUUCGGUUUGUGAGUCCCAGCUCUGGGCUACUGUCUGCUCUGUCCUGGGGCUGCCAGGAUUGUUAGGGAUGAAAUAGAAGACUUGCACUUUGUGUAUCAUUGUUUGCUGAGAGGAUGCUGGACUUUCAUACUACAUUUAAUCUCACCAGAGAUGUCAUGCCCUGGAUCCUUCUCCAUGGAUCACCUGGUAAAUAUUUUGUUUCCGUCAACCUUUCACUACUGAGCUACCAUCCGAUGUAAAAAUGUAGAACUAUAGUAUUUGCUACAAUGUUUCUCGCCAUACCUUGCUUUACUGUAACGAACUGAAACCGCAUACUCAACUUUCAGCUUUUACAUAGCAAUCUUAAAUAGAAAUUAGUUUUAGAUCUGUCUUUUAUUAUUAUUAUUAUUAUUAUUAUUUUGCUUUGCUAACUCUGAUAUCCAUACUUUUACAUCACAUUUUACUCCUCAGCACUCUAUCAUUCAUUUAUGUAUUAUUAUUAUUAUUAUUGUUUUAAUAUUGUUUAUUUUUGUUUCAUUUUUAGAAAAUUGUGGUGAAAAAGCUGGCUCUGCAUGGGGACAUACAGAACCCGAAAGGAAAAGUAAGUAAAACCGGUUUCCAAAGAUGUUUUGUAAUAGUUAUCAAUCCGAUUAAAUAUUUUGUAGUUUGUAUUGUUAACUCUUUUUCACUCCCUGCCCCGUGUGUAGAUGGUCAAAAGACUAAGGAGCAUACUACAAACCCCUUAAUACGGGCACCUGGUUUUAUUUUCAGUUUGAGAAUGAAGUCAGCGUGAGUCAGAUGAGCUGAUAGCCCUGUGUCAUGAUUUGCUACUUUGCAUGUGAUGUUUUUUUUUGCCACCAGUGUCUGCCAAAAUGUAUUAAUAUUAUUUUUUCAGAAGUUUGCAAAGUUAUGUUCUUUAUGUCUAUGUCUACUGUUUUGCACAGGCUGUGUACCAAUGUAGGAAAUAGAUUCAGCUGCACUAAUGAUUACAUCAAUGCCCUACACAUGUUUAGAUUUAUUCUUGACUUUUUGUAUUUUUGUUUUUAAAUCAACCUUUGUAAUGAACCCCUUAACCCCUUAAGGACGGAGCCAAAUGUACACAUUGUGAACAAAACAAAAUGUAAACAAAACCUGGCAUUUGCGCUACAUGUCUGUCAAACCGUAAUACACCUCUUUCAUAGUAAAUGCACCCACCCUUAUUAUAUAUCAUUUUAUUCAGGGGAAACAGGGCUUUCAUUUAAUAUCAAAUAUUUAGCUAUGAAACAUAAUUUAAUAUGAAAAAAAUGGGAGAAAAUACGAUUUUUUUGAUUUUUUUAGUUCUAAAUUGCAUUUUAAAGGUCAGUGUCAUAAUACUGUUUGAUUUUACUGCAAUAAAAUACACAUAUUUGUAUUUAGUAAAGUCUCACGUGUAAGACAGUACCCCCUAUGUACAGGUUUUAUGGCGUUUUGGGAAGUUACAGGGUCAAAUAUAGCACGUUACAUUUGAAAUUGAAAUUCGCCAGAUUGGUUACGUUGCCUUUGAGACUGUAUAGUAGCCCGGGAAUGAAAUUUACACCCAUAAUGGCAUACCAUUUGCAAUAGUAGACAACCCAAGGUAUUGCAAAUGGGGUAUGUCCAGUCUUUUUUAGUAGCCAUUUGGUCACAAACACUGGCCAAAGUUAGCGUUAGUAUUUGUUUGUGUGUGAAAAAUGCAAAAAACGCCAAUUUUGGCCAGUGUUUGUGACUAAGUGGCUACUAAAAAAGACUGGACAUACCCUGUUUGCAAUACCUUGGGUUGUCUACUAUUGCAAAUGGUAUGCCAUCAUAGGGGUAAUUUUCAUUCUUGGGCUACCAUAGGGUCUCAAAGGCAACGUAACCAAUCUGGCGAAUUUUAAUGUGAAAAAAAUGAAACACAAGCCUUAUAUUUGACGCUGUAACUUUUGAAAACACCAUAAAACCUGUACAUGAGGGGUACUGUUGUACUCGGGAGACUUCGCUGAACACAAAUAUUUGUGUUUCAAAACAGUAAAAAGUAUCACAGCAAUAAUAUUGUCCGUGUAAUGCUGUUUGUGCGUGAAAAAUGCAAAAAACGUCACUUUUACUGGCGAUAUCGUUGUAAUACAUUUUACUGUUUUGAAACACUAAUAUUUGUGUUCAGCGAAGUCUCCCGAGUAGAACAGUACCCCCCAUGUACAGGUUUUAUGGUGUCUUGGAAAGUUAUAGGGUUAAAUAUAGUGCUAGCAAAUUAAAUUCCCUUUACUUUCGGCAUGGGUUGUCAGGCAGGUCCCGCUAAUUGUAAUUAAUUAAGAUACCUAAUUAUGUAAAAAUAUUACAUAAAUAUAUAUGUAGAAUUAAUAUAUGUGUAUAUAUAUACGUAUGUGUAUAUAUAUGUAUAUAUCUAUAUAAUUUUUUAAAAAUAUUUUUAUUUAUAUAUAGGUAUAUAUAUAGUGAUAUAUACGUAUAUAUUUAUGUAUAUAGAUAUAUUAUUUCGUUCUACGUGUAUUUUGAUAUAUAUAUAUAUAUAUAUUAAUUUCACAAAACAGUUAGAACGAAAUAACACACAUCUAUAUAUUUUUUAAUUAUUUAUUUUUAAUUAUUUUUUAAUUUUAUUUUUUAACGUAUUUACAUUUUUAUUUUUUUUAUAUUAUAUAUAAAUAUAUAUAUAACAAUAAUUAUAUAUAUAUUUAAUCAGUAUCAGUCUACGUGUAAUUUGAUAUUAAUAUAUAUAUAUAAUUAUAUAUAUAUUAAUAGUAAAAUACACCUAGACGGUGUAUGUGUGUGUAUGUAUAUGUGUAUAUAUAUACUUAGAUCAUAUAUAUAUAAUAUAUACAUAUGAUCUAAGUAUAUAUAAUUAUUUUUUUUUACACCAUUAACUUAUUUUUAUUUUAUUUUCAGCCAGCAGGGGGACCACCUGUAAUUACAGGCAGCCCCCCUGCCGGCAAUACAGAAGCCAGCUAUACCCGGCCAUGUGAUUGUGGGGUCCUCGCUAGGACCCCACUCUCACAUGGCCGGGGGGCUUCAACGAGGACGGAUGUGCCGCGGGGGGCUCCCUGGGAGUCCCCCCCACCGCGAUCGCCGGCGUGGGACCGCCGGCGACCGGGUAAGUUAACAAAAACCGGAGGGCGUACAAUUACGCCCGGCGGCGUUUAGAGCCGCCUAUUAGAGGGCGUAAUUGUACGUCCUGCGGUUUUAAGGGGUUAAAGACACAUGACGGAAAUAUUCCGUCAUGAUUCCAUUUUAUUCCAGAAGUUGUGUCCUUAAGGGGUUAAAGCUUUGUAAAAACUCCGUGCAUGCACUACUUAGAUGUUUUUGGCACUUUUGCUGUGUAUUUGUACUGUCAUAAUUUAAUACUUUAAGUGCACCCAUAAGUAUUACGUAUUGUUUUUGUAAAAAAACAGUGCUUUCUACAGUUUUCCUAUAUGUAUACAUAAAACAUUCUUAACGGACACUCUUUAAUCCCCAGAACCACUACAGCUUAAAGAGACACUGUAGGCACCCAGACCACAUAAGCUCAUUUAAGUGGUCUGGGUGCAAUGUCCUAUGUCCCUUAACCCUAUAGUGGUAAUUCUUGCAGUUUCUGAGAAACUGCAAUAAUUACCCUGCAGGGUUAACUCAUCUUCUAGUGGUUGCCUACCAGACAUACAUUAGAGGAACUUCCAGGUGUUUCAACGACUUUUGGUAGUCUAAAUGACGUUGGACGUCCUCACACUAUGCAUGAGGAUUUCCAGCGUCACCGGAAUCCUCCUUGGAAAGCACUGAAUAAUGCUUUCAUAUGGUCAAUAUCCUAAUGCAAGCAUGGCCAUUGCUGCACAUGACUUCGGCCAGGGAGGAGCGUGGGCAGAGCCUGACCCAGCGCUGAGGGACAUCGACGCUGGAUCCAAGUAAGUGACGGAAGGAGUUUUAACUGCUUAAGCACCGCAUGGGGGAACUGUAGGAUUCUAUAUUGCCAGGAAAACAGAGCACUAUAGAAUACAUUUAAUGUGGGCAAUUAGACUGUAUCUGCAGCGUGAGCACUGAGAAAAAACAGUGUUUACAUUAAUGCCUUACACAUUUCUAGGGACUGUUACUCGGACAGCCACUAGAGACUAACCGGAUGCAGCCCUGCAAAGAUUAUACUACACCGUUUUAGCAUCUUCACGCUGUGCAUGGAGACGCUGAUUGCUCUCAAUGCUUCUCUCUGAGGUGAUACUAAUUGCUGUGCAUGCACAGUGGGCCCACAAUGCUUCCUUAUGGAGAAGUAUUGGAUUGGCUGAGAUCGGUUUUGAUGAUUUCUCAGCUCUAAGUAUUAGGGCCAUUGAAUGAUCCCACAGCUUGAGGAACUGUUGUGUCUGCACAAGAUGCUCUUCCAGUAGUUCCCCUUCUUCUAACCAUAUCUUCUGAUUGUGACUUUCACUGCCUCCAUAUACAUUUACUGAAAAAGAGCUCAAAGAUUUUAAGUUUUCUUAUUUCUCAGUUUGGGGGAGGAGGGGUUGUAUAUGUAUGCUGAUACUUUUUUAUUUAUUUUAUUUUUUCAUCAAAGUUAUUAUUGUACCUCAAUCUAAGAAAACCUUGUGAGAGUUAAUGUGUAGCUUAUACUUUGUAUUUGGUACAUAGUGUGUAUCCAUUUAGUAAAUACUGACAUAUUAGUGUAAAUUAAAAUCAGUGAGAUGGUGAUUUUGUCGGUGUGCUGUAAAUGGAUUCAUUCUGAGUGUGUCUAGCCUGAUUUGCCAUAGUAGUGCUACAGAACACUUAGCACUUAUUCAUUUUACAUUUCACAUGUUGAUAUUGGCAUUUAUCCUUCUUUCAAACAAGUCAAAUCACGUGACCCUAUUAAUGAUGUCACUGGUAAAUCCCCAAGUACUUAUUUUGUUUGCUUAUUUAAAAAAAAAAUCAAUCUGAUUUGGUUAAUUAAAAACACAUAACGGUCACUGUAUUAUCAUCAAACCUUUAAGGUUAUUGUAGAGAGGUAUAUCAGUAACUCUAAUCAUGUAUUUGCUUCUUUUCCACCUACUAUGCUAUGCCAUUUUUUUAAACAGAUGGAUUAAAUUAGUAAGGAUGUUUAUAGUACUAUGCUGAUUGAGGCAACAUGUUUUCCCCUGAAUGGAAGCUGAUUGUUUGGUCUAUUUAAAUGCAUACAUCUAAACGAGAGUAAAGGUUCCAAACAUAAAGAAGCUGAGCAUCAGAAUAUCUUUACUUUUCAUGAUGCAAUGGAAUGCAAUUUAGUCACUACAUCUUAAUGAGUGAUUCCAACCUAAAAAAAGUUUUAAUAAAACACUGUUUUUAAUUAGUCACUCUUCCUAUCUGGCACUAUAAACGUAACAGAUAGAAAGAAGGGGGAAAAAAAACCUAAAACUUCCAUUCCAGCACAGAGUCCAAGUCUCCAAGCUUCACAUCGAUUGAUGUCUUGUAGCAAACUCAGCAUGACAAUAUGUCAUAGAAUAAUGUGUCAAAGUAUUGUGAAGAGAUCACAGUAUUUGGAUAUGCUAGUUGUAAUUCUGUAGAAUACUUUAAAAGAAAAGGGUAUACUCAUGGGUCUAAUGCACUGAGAUCUCAUGUUUCCUUGCUACAUGUACAUAGGGAACUGAGUUUCAGCACUUAAAGGGACACUAUAGUCACCAGAACAACUACAGCGUGUUGCAUUUGUUCUGGUGAAUAGAAUCAUUACCUUCAGGCUUUUUGCUGUAAACACUGUCUUUUCAGAGAAAAUGCAGUGUUUACAUUACAGCCUAGUGAUAACUUCACUGGCCACUCCUCAGAUGGCUGUUAGAGAUCCUUCGUGGGUCAUGGUUGCCUAAAAUGCAUCCAAACAUUCAGUAUCUCCUCCCUCUGCAUGCAGACACUGAACUCUCCUCAUAGAGAUUCAUUGAUUCAAUUCAUCUCUAUGAGGAGAUGCUGAUUGGCCAGGGCUGUGUUUCAAUCAUGCUGGCUGUGCCCCUGAUCUGCCUCUUUGUCGGUCUCAGCCAAUCCUAUGGGGAAGCAUUGUGAUUGGAUCAGGCUACCAUGUCUGAUGAUGGCAGUCGGCAGGUCUAAAGGAAACGGGGACAAAAUAAGCAGCUGCAGACUUGAAUACAAGUAAGAUUUUACUAUAUUUAGGGAGGCAAGGGGGCUAGAUGGUGGUUUUAACCCUAUAUGCAUGUUUGUGUUCCUGACCCUAUAGUGCUCCUUUUAUGAAGAGGGGAACAAUCCUACAGAACCCUUGACUCUGUAUGAUUAUUCCUCUCUUAGAAAGCAAAAAUGAAGCGUAGAAAGCAAAUGAAGAUGUACUCUACCUUCAUUCUUUCUAUGCAUUUAUCUAGCUAAGUGUGAGUUUAAAGUCAUAGAGUUUCAAGGACUGGCACAUUCGUAAUUGUGAGCACUCCACCUGGCACUUGUGACUGUGAGGAUUGGUGACGUUUCAUGGUCAUUAUGUGAUAUAUAUUUAUGGAACACUUUAGGACAGAAGUAGGCAACCUUUUGGUAGUGUCAAACAGUGAUACAAACAAGUAGUGUGUAACAAUCGUACAGAUAUAAAUAAGAGCAGCUCAAAACACUCCUAAAGGGCACCUUAGUUCCCUCAUCAAACAACAAUGUCUAUUAAAAGUGUAUUACAAGUGCAAGACUUGUAACACAGUGGAGCAUUGUUUAAAUAAGAAAAGACUUCUUACCAUCUUGCCAAUAAGAAGUCACAUUCAGAUAUGUAGAGCGCAGGUGUCUGACUUGCCCUUCUUCAUGAUCAGGAGGUAAUCAGGACAGGAAAAGGGGAAAACCUUAUAUAAAUGAAAAGGCAUUACUGUGUGGGGAGACUGUGUUUAUCCCAUGCAAUAGGCCAACUGAUUAAAAUAAAAAUCAUUAUAAUUAAAUAUUAAGUAUGGGAAUAAAGUAGAGAAACUUAAAGGGACACUAUAGUCACCUGAACAACUUUAGUUGAAUGAAGCAGUUUUGUUGUAUAGAACAUGCCCCUGCAGCCUCACUGCUCAAUCAUCUGCCAUUUAGGAGUUAAAUCCCUUUGUUUAUGAACCCUAGUCACACCUCCCUGCAUGUGACUUGCACAGCCUUCCAUAAACACUUCCUGUAAAGAGAGCCCUAUUUAGGCUUUCUUUAUUGCAAGUUCUGUUUAAUUAAGACUUUAUUAUCCCCUGCUAUGUUAAUAGCUUGCUAGACCCUGCAAGAGCCUCCUGUAUGUGAUUAAAGUUCAAUUUAGAGAUUGAGAUCCAAUUAUUUAAGGUAAAUUACAUCUGUUUGAAAGUGAAACCAGUUUUUUUUUUGUUUGUUUUUUUUGUCAGUCAUAGCCAGGGGAGGUGUGGCUAGGGCUGCAUAAACAGAAACAAAGUGAUUUAACUCCUAGAGAGCAAAAAAUGGGUCGCAAGAUGGUUUUAGCUCAUCUUGUGCCAUUACAGAGAGAACAUAUUUGAAGCAUAUCAGACUGGUCCCACCCAUACAGGCAGUCCAGAUCCGAAAUGCCAGCAAGUUCUCUCUGCACGAGAGACACUGAAACCCCAGACGAUCGUUUCAGCCUUGUUAGGCAGCAUCAGUGAGGCAUAGCUGAUAUCUCUCUAGGCACCGUGAGCAAGGGGUCGACGUCUGGAUUACCCUUUAAACUAAUGGAGAGCAAAAAAUGGGUCGCAAGAGUAUUCUGAGAACGGACAGCAGCUAAAAUAGCCUGCCCUUCGGUGGGUCCCCGCUCAGAACUCAUGCUGGUUUUAGCUCAACUUGUGCCAUUACAGAGAGAACAUAUUUGAAGCAUAUCAGACUGGUCCCACCCAUACAGGCAGUCCAGAUCCGAAAUGCCAGCAAGUUCUCUCUGCACAGGAGACACAGCAACCCCAGACGAUCGUUUCGGGGGGAUCCACCGAAGUGCAGGCUAUUUUAGCUGCUGUCCGUUCUCAGAAUACUCUUGCGACCCAUUUUUCGCUUUCCAUUAGUUUAAAGGGUAAUCCAGACGUGGACCCCUUGCUCACGGUGCCUAGAGAGAUAUCAGCUAUGCCUCACUGACGAUGCCUAACAAGCCUGAAACGAUCGUCUGGGGUUGCUGUAUCUCUCGUGCAGAGAGAACUUGCUGGCAUUUCGGAUCUGUACUGCCGGUAUGGGUGGGACCAGUCUGAUAUGCUUCAGAUAUUUUCUCUUUGUAAUGGCACAAGCUGAGCUAAAACCAGCUUGAGUUCUGAGCGGGGACCCACUGAAGGGCAGGCUAUUUUAGCUGCUGUCCGUUCUCAGAAUACUCUUGCGACCCAUUUUUUGCUCUGAUUUAACUCCUAAAUGACAGUGAUUGAGCAGUGAAAUUGCAGGGGAAUGAUCUAUACACUAAAAUCGCUUUAUUUAGCUAAAGUAAUUUAGUUGACUAUAGUGUUCCUUUAAGAUACAAGGAAGUAAAAUUAUGUGGACUGGCUGACAAUGUAAUUAACGCCUUAAGGAGUGAGCCAAAUGUACACGUUGUGAUCAAAACAAAAUGUAAACAAAACCUAUAAUUUGGCUAUAUGUCUGUCCAACCGUAAUUCACCUCUUUCAUAUUAAAUGCACCCACCCUUAUUAUAUAUCAUUUUAUUCAGGGGAAACAGGGCUUUCAUUUAACAUCAAAUAUUUAGGUAUGAAACAUAACUUAAUAUGAAUAAAAUAUUUUUAAAAAAUGGGAGAAAAUAAGAUUUUUUUAAAAAUUGUUUAGUUCUAUGCGGCAUUUUAACUGUCAUAAUACUGUUUGCUUUUACUGCAAUAAAAUACACAUAUUUGUGGGCGGGGCCUGGCCGCAGAGCUGUGAGGAAGCUCUCCACAGCAGCUCCUGCUUAACUCGGCACUUAACGCUAAAUUUCACCGUCACACAGGCACUUAAUUGUGAAUUUAAAGCUACCACUCGAGAGUAGACACUGAGGGGAAGAAAACGAUACCUCUCCAGCGACAAACCGAGCACAACCGACAAUGAGGCCUAGAAGCAUGGCAGGCGCAGGGCGGACGGCCGCUCCCCAGCUGCAAUGCCAUGCCCAGAAUCUGGCUGCAAGCCCUCGUUCCCCCCCUCUGGACCGGUGGGGGUUAUCCCGGUCUACCCCCAACUGACUCCCUGGCAAAGCAAUGGGCCAGAAUCGGCUCCGUGGAGCCCAAAACCAACAGACCCAGCGGUCUUUAAUAUGGCGGAAACCUCCCACACCUCCGACGCAUGGCGGGAAACGGAGACGCGACUGAACAGCAUCUUCGCUAUUUUCUGGGAGUCCCUGGAAGCCCGCAUGAGAGCCUCAGAGGCUGAAGAACCACUCCAGACUUCACCACAGCGCACCUCACAGGAGGCCAGAUGGGGACAAACAGCAGCGCAGCCCCAACAACAGCUGUAUCACAAGGGUGACGCUAACCCGAACCGGCAGGGGCAGAGGCUAGUCACAAGGCCCCAAAAAAACGGAAGCUGGACAGCGGCGGAGGGUCAAGUACUCGCACCCCCCAUGCAAGGCAGUGAAAUGGAGGGGACCAGCGAAGCUGAGCACAAGACCUACCCAGACAAGGCGAGUGAAGCAGAGGGGAACAGGACCAGGGGAGGUGACUGCGUCAGGAAGGUACAUACAGAGCUACCCCAGCCCAAGACAGGCAAACCUUCCCCGAUGCACAGCUUGGCUGGAGCUACACUCAGCGCCCACAGCAACACUGCAUAGCCUAGGGGACAUCAGCUCCUUCACACCGAGGAGAUCGCACCAGCUGCACCGAUUACCGCAGGAGGUACAUACACAGCCCCAACAAGGCAUCGGCUGACCCCCAAAGGGACCAAGACUCAAAUCUGGGCAUAGUACCAUCUGUCACACAGCUCUCUGUGCCCCAACUGAACUCUCACAAAUGUAUACUGGAACAUAUAAUUAGCUUCUUUUGCUUUCUAUUUUGUUUUCUGGUCUGUUCGCCCAGGGAAGCACGGGGGGGAUUAAAGUCAGAGUUCAGCAAUUGUAUAAUAGGAGUACACAAGCUAAGAUUAGCCAGGAUUUAAGCAACUAAUUUACUUAUAGUAUGCUUGGCUUUGCGCCAUGUCUGUAAACUGCUGUUUAACUGGUGGGCCCCAAGCAAAAUAUAUGCUCCUGGACCCACAAAUAUUGCUGGAGCAUCAUAAGAUCAGCUAUGUUUCUGUCCUACACUAUACCUCAGCUAACGAUUGCUUCUGAUUAAUACUUAAUUACUCACACAGGAUCAGCCCUGACUUAGGCCAAUAAUAUACUUUAGCUGGUUUAGUACUGCGAAAUGUUAUCAAGCUGCUGCUUAGCAUAUAGGCCCCAAGCGAUACAUAUACCACAACACCCACAAACACUGCUGGAAUACAAUACUGUAUACCUCACAUAAAGGCGUAAACCAACAUGUGACCCAGCUACUUAAACGCUUUUGUCCAUACAUGUGUUGAACCGUACACUGCUUAAGGUUGUCUUUCCUGUUCACUAAAUUACAAAAACGUGCUGAGUUAACUUAUGCCACGAAAAUGUUUUACUAUGUUAUAUUUGACUGCGUCUGUUACAGCUGUUGUGGCUACACAGACACUGUUGUAAAUUCUUGCACGACAAAAAUAAAGAAUUUAAAAUAAAAAAAUAAAAAAAUAAAAAUAAAAUAAAAUACACAUAUUUGUAUUCAGCGAUACUUCACUGUUAUAACAGUACCCCCUAUGUACAGGUUUUAUGGAGUUUUGGGAAGUUACAGGGUCAAAUAUAGAAUGUUAAAUUUUUCAGUUUUUUUCACAUUGAAAUUCGCCAGAUUGGUUACAUUGCCUUUUGAGACUGUAUGGUGAGGGCCAGAUUAACAUAGGGGCUGAUAGAGCUGCAGCCCCAGGCCCAUGGAAUAGGCCCAUUGAUUUUUUAUUUUUAUUUUUUUUUUAUUUAUUUUUUAAACAGACUACUCUUAGGGAUUCCACCUGGCUUUUAUUUUAUUGGCACAGCCAUUAUUUGAGGCUGCCUGGCUGGUUCCAAUAUUGCAGUCAUACUGGCAAUACAAAUGCUGGUAUUUUUUUCAGUAUAAACAGAGAUUACUAUGCAAUAGCAGCACUGGCCAGUAGGGGUCGCUGUGUGUGGAGAGAGGCAGGGAUAGGAAGUUCCAGCAUAUACCUCUCCCAAUAUCCCUUAGUGUCUCAGUGUCCCCAUGUCUCCUUGCAGCCGUUCCCCCCAUCCCUCACUUAGGCCAUCUCUGCAGGGUGGGAGUUGCUUUCUGGACUCUCUGUAGCUGCUCACCUGCAGAUCAGUGAGUACUAUACUGAUACACAGAUCUGCAGGUGAGCAGCUACAGAGAGUCCAGUAAGCAACUCCCACCCUGCAGAGAUGGCCUAAGUGAGGGAUGGGGGGAACGGCUGCAAGGAGACAUGGGGACACUGAGGGAUAUUGGGAGACAUUAUGACACAGACACUUGGGGACACAGUGUCCUCUAGUCUCCCAGUGUCUCCUAGUGCCCCAUGUCUCCUAGUGCCCCAUGUCUCCCAGUGCCCCAAGUGUCUAAAUGCCCCCAUGUCACCAUGUCCCCCAGCCAGUGUCUCUAGUGUCUGUGUCCCCAUGUCUUUAAGUGUCCCCUAUUUUCCCAGUGUCCCCAUGUGUUCCAGUCAGGGUGCUGUCUGCAUUAUAUGCCCUUAGUUGGCCAGGCAGCCUACCAUGCAUUCAUGCCAGGCUGGCCUUCCAAUUCUUUGGGCAGACAUGUCUUCUUUUUGGGCAUGUUCGGCCCUUUUGGCAAGUUACGUGAUUUGUCAGUGGCACACCCUUUUACCGUGCCAAUCGACUUCCUGCUUGACUGGACACUGCUGUUAGGGGGUAUGGCUUUACUUGAAAGAUGAAAACAUAAAUUAGAGAGAGAUUAGCAUAGGGUAUGUUUUUUUUAUAGCUGCUGUUUCCUUUCUCUCCAUCACCAUCUCCAUCAGAUACAUGACGCUUGGGAGUGUUUUAGUGUUCUUGUUAAAAUUCUGUAAUUAGGCGCAUCAUAAUUGUCAGCACCAGGCCCACUGGGCUCUUAAUCUGGCCCUGCGCAUGGUAGCCCAGGAAUGAGAAUUACCCCCAUGAUGGCAUACCGUUUGCAAUAGUAGACAACCUAAGGUAUUGCAAAUUGGGUAUGUCCAGUCUUUUUUAGUAGCCGCUUGGUCACAAACACUAGCCAAAGUUAGCGUUAAUAUGUCUGUUUGUGAAAAAUGCACAAAACUAAUUUGAACGCCAAUUUUAGCCAGUGUUUGUGACUAAGCGGCUACUAAAAAAGACUGGACAUACCCCAUUUGCAAUACCUUGGGUUGUCUACUAAUGGCAAAUGGUAUGCCAUCAUGGGGGUAAUUCCAUACGGUCUCAAAGACAAUGUAACCAAUCUGGUGAAUUUCAAUGUGAAAAAACUGAAACGCAAGCCUUAUAUUUGACUCUGUAACUUUUGAAAACACCAUAAAACCUGUACAUGAGGGGUACUGAUAUACUCAGGAGACUUUGCUGAAUACAAAUAUUUGUGUUUCAAAACAGUAAAAAGUAUUACAGCAAUAAUAUUGUCAGUGAAGGUGAAGUUUUUUGCAUUUUUCACACAAAAAUGGCACUUACACUGAUGAUAUUAUUGCUGUAAUACAUUUUACUGUUUUGAAACACACAAAUAUUUGUGUUCAGCGAUGUUUCCCGAAUAAAACAGUACCCCCCAUGUACAGGUUUUAUGGUGUCUUGAAAAGUUAUAGGGUUAAAUAUAGUGCUAGCAAAUAAAAUGACCUAUACUUUCGGCCUUUGUUGUCAGGCAGGUCCCGCAAAUUGCAAUUAAUAAAAUGACCUAAUUAUGUAAAAUUAUUACAUAACUAUAUACGUAGAAUUAUUAUAUAUUCGUGUGUGUGUGUGUGUAUGUAAUAAAAAAAAAAAAAAUUAUAUAUAUAUAUUUCGUUCUACGUGUAUUUUUAUAUCAAUACAGUUACAACAAAAUUACAUAUAUAUUAUUAUUUUUGUAUUAAUUUUUAACGUUUUUGCAUAUUUUUUUUCUAAUAUAUUUGUUAAUCAAUAUAAGCCUACGUAUAUUUUGAUAUUAAUAUAUAUAUAUAUAUAAUUAUAAUAAUAAACUACAGUGUGUGUGUGUGUGUGUGUGUGUGUAUGUGUAUAUAUAUAUCCAAAGAGGUAGCAGCACUCACGGAAUUAAAAGUUCAAAUCUUUAUUAGGUCAUAUUAAAAGUCAGGAUCAACGUUUCAGUCCUCUAUAUGGGACUUUCCUCAAGAUCAAUAUAACUACAUAAUCAACAAGGAAAACAUAUAUAGACAAAUACAUUAACUAAAUUAGCUUACCCCCAGGUGAAGUGCAUUCUAAAGUGCUCCGUGCGCAUGUGAAAACAAGGCUCCACCCCCACGUGACGUCGCGGCAUGCCGUCAUCACGUCAGUUUCCAUGGUGACGCGGCGCCGACCUAGGGGGAGUGCAUCAGCAUUGUAAUGUGCUCAUGUGCAAGUAAAGCUCCACCCCCACAUGACGCCGUAACGUGCCGUCGUCGCAUCUGUGUCCGUAGCAACGCGGCACACACGGCCCUAACUAUGGAGAUGAAAAAACCUUAACAGUGUAUGAAACAUUGCACGUUCUGAAGAUCAAGGAGGUGGGUGAUAGAAAAUAAAGUGCAUUUAAUAUGUUAAAUAUGGAAUAAUAUAUAUAGUGAGUGAUAUGUGUAAAAAAUCUUACUUGCCAUAAUGUCUAAUUAUGAGGCUGGUGACAGGUAACUACAAAGGGACCAUUCAUAAUAAGAGGGUCUAGUCAGGGACGUAUUAGCCGCGAGGCAAACAAGGCAUUUGCCUUGGGCGGCAUUUUUCAGGGGAUGGCAAAAAACGCCGCCCCCCAAAUGCCCAGGGCAAAUGCCUAGUUAGCCUUGCGGCUAACUGACAUCCCGGUCGGGCGGGCUGCUCUGGCUGCUGUGCGGGCGGCUGACGAGGGAGCACUUCCUCUGAGCUGACUGCUCAUCAUCCGGCUCCCAGCCUCACUCUGCGGCGCGCGAGGGAGCUGAGCAGUCAGCUCAGAGGAAGUGCUCCCUCGUCAGCCACCCGCACAGCAGCCAGAGCCGCCCGCCCGGCAGCCACUGGACCACCAGGGAGAGAGAGACCUCCCCACCCCCCAGCACUCCCAAAGGUAAGGAGGUUGGGGGGGGCAACACAAAACCAGGAUACACCACUGGGUCUAGUAUCAAGUUAUCUACAAAGUGCCAUCUGAGAAAGACUAAAGUGCCAUGCAGCUUAAUUUAAAGUGCCAAGCUGUGAAAUUGUAAAGUGACAAAGUGAGUUAAAUCAAGGGUAUAACUAUAUGGACAAACUCUUGUAUACAUUUAUAUACAGGCAACAUCAUUAACAAGACGAAUACUCCUAAGUGGACUCUGCUGUCAGGACUUAGAAUGUAGACCCUAAAGGAAACUAUAUUUAAUUCAUAGCUAAUACAUCUCUUAAAUGGGAGUAUUAUAAAUUCAAGACUUGUCCUGGCACAUUCCUGUACUAAUUCACUUUUGAGUAUAAACCCAUUGUUAAAUGAACAUCUAUUACAUAAUAAAGAGGAUACCUGUAUAUUGUUAAUGCCCACAGUAAACAACUUGAUAGACACAGACAUAUACUGAACACAUUGUUAAGAAAUUAAAAAAUAUACAAUCAAGCUGGAGCUGUAAUUCAUAAAAAAGAAUGGAAGUAAAUGGUUUCAUUAAGUCCUUUUGGAAAUACAGUGUCUAAUUCAGAAAUCCAAAAUGCUUUCCGGUUCAACAAUAUUCUCCCACGAUCGCCUGUUCUUCGUGAUAUGGGCACAUGGUCUAUACCUAAAAAUUGUAAGGAAGCCAACGGGUGCUUAUAUUGCAGGAAGUGCUUAGCCACUGGUUUGUCAGAUGUACCAUGCCUGUGGGCCAACCUGAUGCUGGAGCGGUGGCCUCUGAUUCUUUCACACAGGGCUGUUUCGGUUUUCCCGAUAUAUACCAGUCCACACGGGCAUGUAAGUUUUUAUAUAUUACAUGUGUUGUUUUACAUGUAAUUGUGUUGUAUGGUGUACUUCCUGUUCGUAUGCAGAUGGAUAAAACUUUUUGAGGGCAUCAUGUGCCCACACGUUACGCAUUCCAAGCAGCGUACAGAUCCUCGUUUCUGGAUCACACUUUAAUUUGCAUAGCUAUUGAUUGGAUCUGUAUGUACCAACAUAUCCUUUAAGCUCUUAUUUCUCUUAUGGCAAAUCAGUUAAAUUACAUAGGAAGAGCAUUGAUUUGGACCUUCGUGACCUCUUUCUCUCGGACUAUUAUAAGGCUAAAAGAAUCCCUAGAGGGUUCAGGAUAAUGAAUAUCCCCACCAUUGGUAGGGGUAAAGCUAAGGUUUGCAAAAAAUGGACUAUGGUGUUGAACAGGGCAUCUUUAGAUAUGAUGUUAAUUAUCAUUAAAGAUGUGAAAGAGGACUUAACAGAAGUCCAUCAAAAAAUCAUAGAGACAGAAACUGAACAUGCCAUGUUACUUGCCUCUACAGAUGGAUUAAAACUACAGCAAAAACUGAAAGAAGAUAUUUUCAAGUAUAAAAAAAUGAGCUGAUUAAUUUCAAAAAACAGAAAUUAGAAAAGGUUCAACAAGACCAUUGAGUCUAUAGAUGGCUAUCUGGCAGCAACAUGAGCAGACCGAGACAACGUAGAAGGAUUAUAAAACCCAGGAUAGUCACUAUUGACAACACAGGUGAAUCAGCUUUUGAAAAUGAUCAUAAUGAAUCCACCAAAACACCAUCUUCUUCAAUUUUUUAUUUUUUUAUUUAUUUAUUUUUUAGGAGUCCCAGAAAUGGGUAUCUC